GGCAGUUCCUGUCAAAUUUUGUAUUCAUUCUAGAAGUUCAUACUAUAUUAUUGGGUGACUCUUCAUUUUCACUAGAUUAAUGUCCAUUAGAUUAUGUUGCUUUCUUGAUUAAAUGGAUGUGUCAAAUUGCAGAUAUAAGUAUGCACUUGUAAAUAGGUGGAUAAAUGAAUGGGCAACUCUUGAAUGGUUGAUGUGCUAGUUGAGUUGCAUAGAUUUCAAUCUCCACGUUCAUUCCCAUUAGCAUGUUUAUAAUUAUGUUGAUUCAUUCUGUUUUUAAGUGAAGUAAUUAGUUUUUAAGUGAAGUAAUUAGUGCUAAGUACUAAAAGGGAGUAAUAUCUCAUAUUUU
Molecule: unclassified non-coding RNA, 346 nt
Filed under: Hevea brasiliensis (rubber tree)
Lineage: Eukaryota; Viridiplantae; Streptophyta; Magnoliopsida; Malpighiales; Euphorbiaceae
Source: RNAcentral